RNAcentral lists this ribosomal RNA (253 nucleotides) under uncultured bacterium. Its description in RNAcentral is "partial 16S ribosomal RNA". It matches the Rfam family "Archaeal small subunit ribosomal RNA", at positions 474 to 727 of the family's 1478-position model. The record is from RNAcentral.
UACCAGCACCCCGAGUGGUCGGGACGAUUAUUGGGCCUAAAGCAUCCGUAGCCGGUCCUGCAAGUCUUCCGUUAAAUCCAGCUGCUCAACAGAUGGGCUGCGGGGGAUACUACAGGGCUAGGAGGCGGGAGAGGCAAGCGGUACUUUAUGGGUAGGGGUAAAAUCCGUUGAUCCAUAGAAGACCACCAGUGGCGAAGGCGGCUUGCCAGAAUGCGCUCGACGGUGAGGGAUGAAAGCUGGGGGAGCAAACAGG